Molecule: ribosomal RNA, 253 nt
Filed under: uncultured bacterium
Lineage: Bacteria
Description: partial 16S ribosomal RNA
Rfam family: Bacterial small subunit ribosomal RNA
Source: RNAcentral
UACAGAGGGGGCAAGCGUUAUUCGGAAUUAUUGGGCGUAAAGGGCGCGUAGGCGGCUAUUCAAGUGGCGGGUGAAAUCCCUCGGCUUAACCGAGGAACUGCCUGCCAGACUGGAUGGCUUGAGACCGGGAGAGGUGAGUGGAAUUCCCAGUGUAGCGGUGAAAUGCGUUGAUAUCCUAAGGAACACCGGUGGCGAAAGCGGCUCACUGGAUCUCUUCUGACGCUGAGGCACGAAAGCUAGGGUAGCAAACGGG